This 1842-nucleotide ribosomal RNA is filed under the name Triticum aestivum (bread wheat). Its description in RNAcentral is "partial small subunit ribosomal RNA". The record is from RNAcentral. Lineage: Eukaryota; Viridiplantae; Streptophyta; Magnoliopsida; Poales; Poaceae.
AUGGCGCCGGACCUAAAGGCGAAGGGCACUAGUGACGCAUUCGUGCUAAGCGAGGAGCUCUAUGGGGCAAAGUUGAUGCAGCAGAGCGCUAGCCAGAUCGAGGUCCUGCAGGAGAAGAUGAUUUCGACGGGAUGGUGCGGGUCCGAACACAUGGAUCUGUUGAAGUUGAAAUCCGAUCUGCUCGACGUGUCGGAAAGGAUCUUACGCCUGGCCGAUCCCGAGAUCCAGGCCCAGAGCAAGAUCGGCGAGGACGCGGUGGUUGUGCUGCCCGAUCCGGCCGCAAAGGAGGAGACCCAGGAGACGAUCGUUGGUCAGGCAGACAAUACGUUCCUCUCGGAGUCCCUACCCAAAUUCAUCAUUGACAUCUUGUCGAAGUUCCAAGAAGAGGUCGGCGACGUCGCUUCGGUGCUCGAAGCAGAAAGGAGUAAGGAGGCAGCGGCAGCGCUAGGCUUUGCCUUCAGGUUAGAGCUGUGCUGCAAGCGGAUCGACGAGCUGUGGCGCGAGAUGCGCGAAAUACUGAGAUCGUUCUCGGCGGAGAAGAAGGAUCUAGUUAAGACCAUGACCAUGUUUACUUCUGAGCCGUACGUCCACCGCAUCGCCAAACUGAAAAGGAUCUCUGAGCGGAUCACUGCGCUUCGGCGGCUGGACCCAGGUCUUGACUCCAAAGUGAAAUCAAAGCUCGUCCGGUUGAAAUCGGAAUCCUUCUUAUCAGCCAUGGAGGGGGAGAGGGAAGGUGUUGCGGGAGGAGACGGGGCCAAAUCUUCAGCGGAGAUGGACAAGUCAUUCGCUGCUUACCGUCUCUUCUGGGAACGGACAUGGGGCACUGACUACAGCUUCGAACAUCAGACGUUAUUGAGCCCCAUGCAAUUUACACAUUGCACACCAGGCCGCAUCCCGGUUGACGCUGUUGCGGGGAGCACCUUGCAGAUUAACUCCAUCAAAGUCUCUGCAGCAGCAGAACUUGGGCAUUCACUGGAGGUGUAUGGAGUGGUAGCGGCCCAAGACGCAGCAUACCGUCAUCGCAACCCUCUCUUCCUUCAUACAUGGAAUGACUGCCAAAUCCUCACAAAACAAGAUCCUUUUUUGCAAUUGACUGGGCCAGUACGCGCGAUUGUGUCUAUGGAUACUGUUUACAUUGAAAUCCAACUAAAAGUAAAGGACGAAACAAAAUCUGAAGAUAGAGCACUGGUCAGUACAUUCUACCUUUAUAAUGCUGAGCAACAUGGAAGUUUCCUUGUCAGCAGCCCCUUAUGCAUAGUGGAACUAUGCUGUGAGAGACUUCAAGAGUCAGUCCAGGCCACUAUCCUGAGUGCAGUAGUUAAAGCCCACGAAGGGUCAUCUCCUUUUCCACAUGGCGGAAGAAUUGUCUGCUCUUCACUACCUUGUCAUGGUUAUGAAGAUAUCACUGGGCUCCCAUCUACGGAAGUUGUGCUGCUUGAGUCACAAGAUGGAAGAAUGCCAAUGGCUAGAAAUGGUCACCUUGAUCUGAUAAGGCGUGUGAUUUUUGUGGAAUUAAGAGGAAAGCUGAAAUUUAUCAUAAAGACCUAUUCACCUUCACACCCUGCUGAGAUGGCUACUUAAGAUGUCCUCUUCACACCCGAAAAAUGCAACAUAAGUAAAAAAACAUGUAACCUUGGUGUUGGCUCUAAGGUGGAGAUUACUGUUGCUUGGUCCUUCCUUCCCGCAUCGAAGAUGCUAUCUAUCUUGAUGAAUAGAUACAUGGACCCUGUGUAUGUAAGUCUCCCCUGUCGCUCUGUCAUCUAUUGUACAAUCUUGUCAGACUAUAUCAACCUUUUGAUUACUGUCAAGCUAUGUGAAAUGUUUAAAUACCGAGGUAUAUGA